This 97-nucleotide ribosomal RNA is filed under the name Neospora caninum. Its description in RNAcentral is "partial 28S large subunit ribosomal RNA". The stretch from base 14 to 97 matches the Rfam family "Eukaryotic large subunit ribosomal RNA", at positions 1 to 84 of the family's 3401-position model. The record is from RNAcentral. Lineage: Eukaryota; Apicomplexa; Conoidasida; Eucoccidiorida; Sarcocystidae.
GGUUCUAUUUAUCAGACCUGAAAUCAGGCGAGGUUACCCGCUGAACUUAAGCAUAUUAUUAAGCGGAGGAGAAGAAAAUAACUAUGAUUCCCUUAGU